UACGGAGGAUGCAAGCGUUAUCCGGAAUUAUUGGGCGUAAAGCGUCCGCAGGUGGCUCUUCAAGUCUGCCGUUAAAGGCCAGGGCUCAACUCUGGUUAGGCGGUGGAAACUGUAGAGCUAGAGUGCAGGAGGGGUAGAGGGAAUUCCCGGUGUAGCGGUGAAAUGCGUAGAUAUCGGGAAGAACAUCGGUGGCGAAGGCGCUCUACUGGACUGCAACUGACACUCAGGGACGAAAGCUAGGGGAGCGAAUGGG
Molecule: ribosomal RNA, 253 nt
Filed under: Symploca sp. RS-051113-1
Lineage: Bacteria; Bacillati; Cyanobacteriota; Cyanophyceae; Coleofasciculales; Coleofasciculaceae
Description: partial 16S ribosomal RNA
Rfam family: Bacterial small subunit ribosomal RNA
Source: RNAcentral